Thamnophis sirtalis is the source of this 764-nucleotide non-coding RNA. Lineage: Eukaryota; Metazoa; Chordata; Lepidosauria; Squamata; Natricidae. The record is from RefSeq and is a predicted model, not a curated record.
UGGCACGCGUGCCAUAGGUUCGCCAUCACUGUUCUAAUGAAUGGAGCUGCUAAAAGUUGUGAUACAUCUUGGGGUGUGUGUAAACUUCCUAUGUGCUAAUGUUCAAAUUAAAAGAAUUUCCAGAAAUUGUAAACUUAGGACACACUAUCACUAGAGUAUAUGCUAUAUCAAUGGCACCUGAUACCUUACAGCACCAGGGCACCACCUUUAAAAAAUAAACAAUAGCCUGAACCAUUAGUUCAAGAUACAGAAAAUGCUUGAAAUUUUGUUAUAAUCAAAUCAUCAGUGCAUUUUUAGCACUACUUAAAAAUACAGAUCAGAUUUCUCUUGGCACUACUGCUGUAAUGGCAUAUCAGUAUAGGAUGCCUAAUGCUGAACCUAUGUAAAAGUGAUGAACAGAAGUAGAAAUGCCAUGUAUACGGAAUGCAUUUGAGGGCAUAAAGUAAAUGUAUCAGAAAAACAGGCAACAUGCAAAUUAAUUAAAAGUACAAGAACAGAUCUAGGAAUGACUUUUUAAAUAUACAUAUAAUUACAAACUUAACAAAGGCAGUUUUAUAGGUCAUAGGCUAGUGUGAAUUUACUAAAGAAAAAAUAUGGGGGUUGUGAAAAAAACAAAAUAGGGACCACAAGACUAUUAAGUAUUUUUUGUACAUAACAAGUGCACUGUGCCAAAUAUGCAUCCUAUUGAAAAGUUAAGUAAUCAAGUCAUAUCUACAAGUUUGCAGAGUUUAUUCAAAUCAUAUAGUUUUUAUUUAAAACAUCUA